UACAGAGGGGGCAAGCGUUGUUCGGAAUUACUGGGCGUAAAGGGCGCGUAGGCGGCCUGUUAAGUCGAACGUGAAAUCCCCGGGCUCAACCCGGGAACUGCGUCCGAUACUGGCAGGCUUGAAUCCGGGAGAGGGAUGCGGAAUUCCAGGUGUAGCGGUGAAAUGCGUAGAUAUCGGGAGGAACACCAGUGGCGAAGGCGGCUAUCUGGACGCAUACUGACGCUGAAGUUCGAAAGCGUGGGGAGCAAACAGG
This 253-nucleotide ribosomal RNA is filed under the name uncultured bacterium. Its description in RNAcentral is "partial 16S ribosomal RNA". It matches the Rfam family "Bacterial small subunit ribosomal RNA", at positions 524 to 776 of the family's 1533-position model. The record is from RNAcentral.